This 707-nucleotide long non-coding RNA is filed under the name Capra hircus (goat). RNAcentral's name for it is "lncRNA (ENSCHIG00010011140.1)". Lineage: Eukaryota; Metazoa; Chordata; Mammalia; Artiodactyla; Bovidae. The record is from RNAcentral.
GGGAUGAGCCGGUCAAUAUGGAGAAUCUCAUUUACAGAAAAUUCCAUCAGUUGCUCCAGUGGUUUUAUCACAGUACUGUGUUUGAAAAAAUCUUUAAAUGCAAAAGGAAAGAGCCAUCCAAAUGAAUAGCAACUGUGGAAAGGCUACAGUAACUUUAUCUGAAGAGUCUGUUACCAUCUCACACAGGCACAUGAACUUUUUGAGUCAGACAGAAAUUGCCAUUAAUUUGUGCAAUACUAACUUUGUAAAUAAUAAUUAAGCUGGCAAAUGUACUUACUCUUCAGAGAAAGAAGGUGGUAUGAAGGGGUAAGAAGAUACCAAGCACUGAGGAUAUUAAGGUAGACUGACCUGCAGGGACCAGAGAAUUCAAUUCUGAAAUAAAACUUGGACAUAUCUUAACAGGAAGGGCAGAGCAUGCCAAGACUGGCACAAAGGCAGACCAAGGACCCUCUCAACGCGGCAGCCUUGCCCUUCCUGCUCAGUGACAAAGUGCCUAACAGCAGCUGUCAAGUCCCAGUGAGAGAAAUAAAGCUGGGCUACUGCACAUUCUCACACAACUGGUCAUCUUCUUACCAUGUACUUACAAAACACGUAGAAGGACAAUAUAACUUACAUAUGUAGCACUGGCUAGUUGCACUAAAGUAGCUUUAAUCACCAGCAUAAAAUAAAAAGCUUAUCACUUAAAAUUCUGAACCAGCACUUUCAGG